CUAAUCCAUAAACCACCAAUUCAACCAAAUCAGUUCUUUCUAAUUGGGCUUCUACUUAAGAGAAAAAAAAAUUUAAUGCUCAUGAAAGGGACCUACACUUCUUGAUAAGAGUCCUGCCACUCUUCACAAAUGGGAAGUCAAUACUUCUAAUGGCAAGAAUGUGGAGAAAUGGUUAAAAUUUCUGAUUCAUGGACAUUCAGUGCAAUAAAGUCAUAAAAUAUUUGGAGAAAGUCCCAUUUUCUCCUUUCUACCAUGAAAGACCAACUCAAGAUGAUUGCCAAGUGGCAAGAGAAGUCUUGUGAGGUAAUUCACCAUGUCCUCAGUCCUAGAAGAGCAGAAUUCCAAGUGAGGUCCCCUGGAUACUAAAAUCCUUUGACUUGUCUCUCCUUUUAAGAACUCCCACUGCUAGGAGCUAACCUGAUUUGAUAGAAUUUAUCCUCCAGGAAUAUAGAAUAGCAGGUGAAAGCACAGUGCCCUAGCAUUCAAGAAGCUGAGCUGCAGUCCUUUUGUCAACAGUAAUUUUACAACUUUGGAUAACUUCAGCUCUCUGGGCCUAUUUCCCAAAUAAAGGAGUUGGUCCAAGAUUUGUGAUUUUCAAACCUUGCUCUGUACAAAUCUGGGUGCUAUAGGUGGUCCAUCAGGUACUGCUUGGAGGAACAGGACUUAGGUGCCUGGUGGGCAGGAUACAAGUUCUGCUACGCCAUUUCAGCCAGCAUAUCAGCCAUGUUGACCUAUAUGUGUGCUGGACUUCUGGGACGGUUUUGAUUUGAAAAGGCUCCACUACUUAAAACUGUUUGAAAACCAAUAAUCAAAACAUUGGUUUCUGUAACCUACACAUGGAGGUUUAACAUUUUAAUCUCUCACUUGGAUUUUAACAGACCUUCCCAAAACUUAAUCAUUUAAAUCAUUUAAAAAUUUAAAAUUUAAAAUCAUUUAAAAAAAUAAUGAUAGAAUUUCAGUUGGAAAGGGAAAUAUCAUUAUCAUAAAAACAACCUGGCAGCAUAUUCUUCCUUAAUUUUUCACUCCAAACCAUGCCCACAUACUUCUGGGCCUCUGACCUACUCUUGCUGCUUCUAGGAAAGAACAAUUAUAGUAGAAACAUCAUAAAUCUAUUUAUCCAGUUUCCUCUGGGUAAAGGAUAAUAAAUUUUUACUUAUUUGCCCAGGAACAAGGGUUCACAGUUCAGUGCCCAGUACACAUUCAGAUGGUCAAAAAUUUUAUCCAUCAUGCGCCAGGAACUAUUCUAGUCUGUAGUCAUAAAGUGGUCACAAAGGCAAAUGAAUUCUCUGCCAUGAAAGAAUUUACGUUAUAAGAAAGAAUAAUGUAGAUAUAAAAUAAUUCCGACCUGCUCAAGUAGUAUAAACAAAGUAUAUAAUGUUAUGUAAUGCACAAUGAUGGCAUGAUGGUGAUGGAGGUGACAAGUAGAGUUAGAGAAGACCUCUCAGGGGAAAGCACUUCAAGUAAGAUCAAAAUACUGGAAAUGAGGCAUCCAUGAGAGAAAGUAGGGACAGAAAAAAUGACAAUUGCAAAACCCAAGAGACAUAAUGGAGCUGGGUUUAUUUAAGGAACAGGGAUCAUUAUGCCUGGAGUAUUGGCAAUGCAGGAAAUAUGGAGGGAGAAGUUACAGAGGAAAGCAGGAGCCCGAUCAUGUAUGGCCUCUGUAGCCUUUGGCAAGGAGUUUGAAUUUUAUUCUGAUUACACUUGGAAGGCAGUAGAGGGAUGGAAAAAUAGAAGGAGCAAUAGAGCAAGAAAAGAGAGUGUAAGGGAGGGAAGGACUGGUUACCUUAACUCGGGCAUCACCAUAGACUGUUCCAGUUGCUAAGGUCAGAAUGAACAAGAGUUGUGAAACCAUGGAAACCUGGAACAGCAUGUGUUGUUUUCUAUUAAUAAAGUGAUUUUCCACAAUCACUCUUCAAGUGAAGUGAGAAUGGAUAAGAGGUAUUGGAGGUCAUGUUAAAGGGCAGAUUUUUAAAGAGAACACACAGAGGGCUGUAAUUUUAGAACAGAGACUAAAAAUUAGAAUGAGACCUGGAGAUUUUUUUACGAAAAGAAAGAGAAAUAUGUUUGUAACAUAUAAAUCCUAAGAGAAAUGUAAGCUCAGAUAGGACAAUACAUUGAGAACAGCUCUCAGAAGUUUGCACUUUUGGUUCUUCCAAAAACUGAAUCAUCAUAAACAUAGAAGUAACUGUUGCUAUGCCUCCUUGACAUUAGAUGUGGUCAUUUCCUGUCUGAGAUGAUUGCCGAGUAUGUACCCAGAAAUGCAAGUUGGUCUUCCAACGGGAUGAAAAGGUAAAAAUGACUGGCACCCAGCCUUUUAGAUAGAAUGAAUUGUUACACAUGGAAAACUACUCCUGAAAGAAACAAAGAGGUGAAUAUUUCCAAGGGAAACCAUUGUCAAGGGGCAAGGGUGUUAAAGAAUAUACUGAGAAGAAACUGAGAAGGUAAGUGUUUUUUAAUUACAUAUAUGGGGACCUUUCCAAGGAAAAUGUUUCAAAAACUGGUAUUUUCUAAGUACCACUUAGUGCUGAAUUCCUGUAGUUAGACUCUCUCAUUGUUGUAUAAGUUUGGAUCCAAUUAGAAGGUAGAAACGAUACAGUGAACUAAACUGAGGAAGUCCCAUCUAGAGAAUUAUCAAACUCUGGUAAAGGAGUGACUGUAAUAUAUAAGGAAAUCAUAUGGUACUCUUAGGGUAGAGGGAGGGAAUCCAAGGAAAGAGCAACUUGGAAGGGAUCCUCCCAUGGCUGAGGGUCAGACCUUGUUGGUGAAAGUAACAGAGAUUGUUGGUUUUCCCAGACCACAGUUCAUGGGCUGUUGCUAGGCAAGCAGAAAACACCUUCUGUGUGUUUUCUGGGUACAGGUGAUGGUGGGCAGGGUGCAGGUGAGUGGCAAGCAGAGGCAUGGGCAUGCAGAGCAGGGGGGGAUCUGGAACACAGGCAAACUGUGCAGGAGACCUGCAGAAGUAAUCGGUGCCCAGACAAGGAGGAGGUCUUUGUAGAGAGGAAGUUUUGUGGCAUCAUAUUCUGUGUAGGAAAGGCCAGGGUAGAUUAUCACUAGUUCAGAACAAGUCUGCAAGGCAAUAAAAUGAUGGAUAGGUUCUGGGAGCAAGCCUGGGGAAGAGCUCCAGCAGAUGGUCCCACACCCAAAACACCAACCCACUGCGUAGCCACUGGAAAUAGCAGGAUAACACCUUCCUCCUCUAAUGUCUUUCCAGUGCCCUCUCUUGAGAAAGCUAAACAAUGUGCUCAUUGUACAGGAGGCAUGCUUCAGAGAAUUCUGUCCAUUAUUGCAGAGAGUAUACUGAAGGGAAUGUUUGGACAUGAGAGAAAAAUUGCUAACUGUUACAGUCUUUUGUGUAUUCCUUUUUUUUCCUUAGGAAAGAAGACCAUGCUCUAAUAAUACUUCGCAUCUUUAAAAAAAUGAACAAAAAUUUUAAAAUCUAUAUGUAUAAAUAUAUACAUGUAUUUGUAUGUGUAUAUCCAUCCCUGAAAUUACAUUUCUCUUCAGUUACCGUCACACAUCUCUCCUCUUUGAACAAAGCCUGCUUCAAAAUGUGAUUGUUUAUUCACUGUCCUCAUGACUCAUACUCUCUGUUACAACACAUUCCAUGUUGGCUUAUGUUCUACACUGCUCCUCUUAAGGUCACCUUUGUGUUGUCAAAUAUAAUGGCCACUUGUCUGUGUUUAUACCGUUCAACCUCUUGGUAGCAUUCAAGUUGAAUACACCUCCUUUAUUCAGACCCUCGCUUUCCUUUGUGUAACAUGAUUUUCUGUGUUUUCUGCCUGCCUGCCUAGAGACUUUUUCCCCCUCUCGUUUGCCCAUUCCACCUCUACUACUUGGUCUCUAAAUUUGGAAUACCCUGGAGUUCCAUCCCCUUCACUGCUUUGCCCUAUCUACACUUUCAUUCUGGGUAAUAUCCACUCUCUGGUUUACAUACUGCCUAAAAUUUCAAUGACUUCUAAAUAUUCGUCUCCAACUCUGAUCUCUUGAUUGAGUUUAGGAAUUGCAUAACCAAUUGCCUACUUAACUCUAUCAUCUAGGAGGCAUCUCAAACUCACCAUGAUCAAAGUAGAAUUGAUUUAUAUCCCAAAACACAUUUGUCCGAGUCUUCUCCAAUUCACAAAAUGGUAGCAAGACUCCUAUAAUAGAAGCUAUUCUUUAUUCAUCCAUUUCUCUCACCUCAAAAUCCUGUCAUAUUUUGUUAAAUGUAGAUAAUCUAUCUCUUCUGUACUUUCAUUGCUAUCAUCCUGGCUCAGGCCACCUCUCUCCUGGAGUUAGGCAACAACUGGUCUUUCUCCUUAUAAUCUUGAAACUUCUUCAAGGCAUUCUCUACACAGCAGUCAGAUUGAUUUUUUGAAACUGUAAAUUGUGUUAUUUCACUUCCUUAGAUAAAAUCUUUCAAUGGAUUCUAAAUCCAGCCGCAGGGCAAGUGUCUCCUAAGAGAUAAUUUUUCCUGACCACACAAACUAGAUGUAGGUCCCUCCAUCUAUCAGUUAUAUUAUCAUGUUCCCUUUUUAUGUGACUAUCACUAUCUAAGAUGAUCUUAUUAAGUUAGGUUUAUAUGUGAUUUUUACCUGUUCUACUCAAUGCUAGAUUCUAAGCUCCCUGACUAUAAAGGCCUUGUGUUGCUCACUAGAUGUUUUGUCCACAGCAUCUAGAAAACACCCAGACUAUAUUGGUUCAGUCUGUGUGUGUUGAAUAAAAUAAAGACUCCUUUUACAUUUGUCAGGGAGGAAGCUGGAUGCCACAGUGACUAAUAGUCACUUAUUAGCUCAUAGCUAAUAAUUAUAUAGCUAUUUAUAGAAUGGCAUGUUAUAAAGACAUGUUCUCUUUCAGGAGGAUAUAUCUAGAUAUUCCAGAAAGACUCCAAGAUCCAUCAAGUCUGCAAAAGCCCAUGAGAUGUGUAUUAUGAAAUACUGUCAGGUUGUGAGUCAGAAAUUUCAAAUUUAGGGACAAAGGUUGUAUUUUUCAUGACUACCUAUUGGUGACUGAAGCUUUAAAAGAGAAAGAAAAAUAUGAACAUAUGUUAACAGUUGUACCUUUGUGUUUGCCAGGAAAGAUUUGCUCUUUUGGAACAUGAACAAUGAUAAUGCUCCAAGUGUCUCCUGGAAAGGGUUUGGCACACUUAGAAAAAUAAGGAAGAAUAAGAUUUGGUCUCUGCCAGAAAGUAUAUGUAAUCCAACUAAAGAGCUGUCAUGGAAACUACUAGCAUGAGUUGGAAACUACAAUUGAAAGAGUCCUGGAUAGUGUGUUCCUGUAAGAUCAACUUGCCUCUGGAGAGUAAUAAUAAAAGACUGCAGAUGCAGUUGUUCAGGAAAAGGAAGAGACACCAGGGAGGCACAUGCACAGAAGAAAGACCAUGUGAGGACAGAGCAAGAAGGUGACAAUCUGCAAGCCAAGGAUAGGGGCCUCAGAAGAGCUUGGACUUAGAGCCACCAGAACUCCUUUCUUUUACAGCAGUGAUUCUCAAAUUACGGUCCACAGACAUAAACAUACAGUCCAUGUGCCAGCCCACAGAAUGCUUCUACUGGUCCUCAUCAAGAUCCAUAUGGAAACUGAGGUGGCAGUGAAUACACAUGGAUGAAAAUAAACAUCUUCAUGGACAAGAAAAAAAUAAGUUUUGUACAGUUACAAGAAACAGUUAAGAACUCAGGUACUUUUCCAACUACCCAGAUGAAGAAGUCAUUAAAACAGGCUAUCAAGAUGAUGUCAUGGCACAGGAAUUGGGAAAAGAUGAGCACAAUAAGCUCUCACAAGCUAGUAUGAGCCUGCACGCCCCUGCUGGUGAAGGUGAGGAUUUCCACGUGGAAACAUUCUGAUGAAAUUCGCAUAUGCAGAGCUCAAGUUCAGGAGUAGAAUCUGGGUGAGUCAUUGAUUUUUGGAAUCAAUGAAAUUAUCUACGAACAAGUUUCUUUUUAAAAAACAAAAAUGACAUUGGGCCCAAAAUGGAAUCGUUUAUGCUAAGCCCUAUGUCACCAAGCCCAGACUUAAAGUUUCAGCUCUCCCAGAAAUGGAAUCUUAAAUAAAUCAACUAGUAAUUGCCUCAUCAGCUCAAUUUUGGUAAUCUGCCUGAUAGACCCUUGCCAUCCCUGAAAGAAAAGUAACCUUGCAAAAACCAAUCUUCUUUUGUGUCUACUAUAGUAACUUCCUUAUUCCCACUCCUUUCUGCCUAUAAAAGUUUUUCAUUUUAUACAGUUCCUCGGAGCCCUUUUCUGUCUGCUACAUUGGAUACUGCCAGAUUCAAAUUAAUUUUUGGCUCAGAUAAACUCUCAAGUAUUGUAAUAUGCCUCAGUUUACCUUUAACAGUUCUAGUGUCAGAAGAAGCAACUGAAUGAGACCUCUGAGAGCCCUCAGGAGCAAACAAGCAAAAGUACCCACUGACCCCCUGGAACUCACUGCCUUCUUUCUUGCUGCCACUAGUGGUUGUAGUCCUUGUUUCUGAUCUGCGCCAACCAGAUUCAAACACAGAACCUCUCUGAGUUCCACCAAAGGAAUCCAUUCACGCAAAAGCUUUUCGCACUAUGUGGAUUUCACUGAGAAUUUGGCAAGGGACAGUCUUUUACUGGUCAAGAAGAGAGGUGAAGAAUCUGAGCUCAAUUCCUCCUGCAGACACAAGGCUGCAACAGCAUAUAGUACCCCUCAUUCUGAGAACAACCCGAAGACUGGCAGGACAGCUUUUCCACAGUUAAAGAUACGAAGACAAACCUACAUCUAGAAAGGUGUUCCUGUAUAGCGACUAUUAACCUGCCAUGCCUUGUGGUCAACCCGGUCCAGAACCAGCACCACUCCAAAGCAAGUCUUGCCCUAGUGAGAGAAGGAGGCAGCCCUGCUUACCACCAAACCCGUGGCAAGUUGUACCCAGGACUUUCACCCAGCUGCAAACAUAGGAGACACCACUGGAACAUCUGGUUCUACUAAACAGUAAGUACUGCACUAAAGGAAACCCCAAGAUUUCUUCUAUAUAGGGCCAGUAACUUUAAGACCAGGAGACGUAGCUGACCUAAUACAUAGAGACAAAUAGAGUCAGACAAAAUGAGGAAAAAGAUGAGUAUGUUCCAAAUGAAAGAACAACACAACUUAAGAAAAAGAAUUAACAAUAUGGAGAUAAAUGACCUACCU
Felis catus (domestic cat) is the source of this 7116-nucleotide long non-coding RNA. RefSeq lists it as uncharacterized. Lineage: Eukaryota; Metazoa; Chordata; Mammalia; Carnivora; Felidae. The record is from RefSeq and is a predicted model, not a curated record. The transcript is spliced from 9 exons.